GGGGAUAACAGUUGGAAACGACUGCUAAUACCGCAUAAUGUCUACGGACCAAAGGGGGCUUUUAGCUCUCGCGUGAAGAGAGGCCCAAGUGAGAUUAGCUAGUUGGUGAGGUAAAGGCUCACCAAGGCGACGAUCUCUAGCUGUUCUGAGAGGAAGAUCAGCCACACUGGGACUGAGACACGGCCCAGACUCCUACGGGAGGCAGCAGUGGGGAAUAUUGCACAAUGGGGGAAACCCUGAUGCAGCCAUGCCGCGUGUGUGAAGAAGGCCUUCGGGUUGUAAAGCACUUUCAGUUGUGAGGAAAGGUUGGUAGUUAAUACCUGCCAGCUGUGACGUUAACAACAGAAGAAGCACCGGCUAACUCCGUGCCAGCAGCCGCGGUAAUACGGAGGGUGCGAGCGUUAAUCGGAAUUACUGGGCGUAAAGCGCACGCAGGCGGUUUGUUAAGCUAGAAGUGAAAGCCCCGGGCUCAGCCUGGGAAGGCCUUUUAGAACUGGCAAGCUAGAGUCUUGGAGAGGGGAGUGGAAUUCCAGGUGUAGCGGUGAAAUGCGUAGAUAUCUGAGAGGAACAUCAGUGGCGAAGGCGGCUCCCUGGCCAAAGACUGACGCUCAUGUGCGAAAGUGUGGGUAGCGAACAGGAUUAGAUACCCUGGUAGUCCACACCGUAAACGCUGUCUACUACCUGUGUGUGAAUUUAAUUUGUGCGUAGCGAAGCAAACGCGCUAAGUAGACCGCCUGGGGAGUACGGCCGCAAGGUUAAAACUCAAAUGAAUUGACGGGGGCCCGCACAAGCGGUGGAGCAUGUGGUUUAAUUCGAUGCAACGCGAAGAACCUUACCUACUCUUGACAUCCAGAGAACUUUGCAGAGAUGCGAAGGUGCCUUCGGGAAUUCUGAGACAGGUGCUGCAUGGCUGUCGUCAGCUCGUGUCGUGAGAUGUUGGGUUAAGUCCCGCAACGAGCGCAACCCUUGUCCUUAGUUGCCAGCAUUAAGUUGGGCACUUUAAGGAGACUGCCGGUGACC
Molecule: ribosomal RNA, 1020 nt
Filed under: uncultured Aestuariibacter sp.
Lineage: Bacteria; Pseudomonadati; Pseudomonadota; Gammaproteobacteria; Alteromonadales; Alteromonadaceae
Description: bacterial SSU rRNA
Rfam family: Bacterial small subunit ribosomal RNA
Source: RNAcentral